Molecule: non-coding RNA, 82 nt
Organism: Sphenostylis stenocarpa
Lineage: Eukaryota; Viridiplantae; Streptophyta; Magnoliopsida; Fabales; Fabaceae
Source: the annotation of a GenBank genome assembly
UGUUAGGCCGAGUGGUUUAAAAUGUUAGACUUAAGUUCUAAUUCUUGAAAGAGGGCGUGGGUUCAAAUUCCACUCAGAUGAA